GAUGAAGAAACGUAGCGAAAUGCGAUAAGUAAUGUGAAUUGCAGAAUUCAGUGAAUCAUCGAAUCUUUGAACGCACAUUGCGCCCCUUGGUAUUCCGAGGGGCAUGCCUGUUCGAGCGUCAUUAUAACCCCUCAAGCUCAGCUUGGUGUUGGGGCCUGCUGCACUGGCAGCCCUUAAAAUCAGUGGCGGCGCCAUCUGGCUCUAAGCGUAGUAAUUCUUCUCGCUAUGGAGUCCUGGUGGAUGCUUGCCAUCAACCCCCAAUUUUUCUAUGGUUGACCUCGGAUCAGGUAGGGAUACCCGCUGAACUUAAGCAUAUCAAUAAGCGGAGGA
This 330-nucleotide unclassified non-coding RNA is filed under the name soil metagenome. RNAcentral's name for it is "partial contains 5.8S ribosomal RNA, internal transcribed spacer 2, and large subunit ribosomal RNA". The stretch from base 1 to 121 matches the Rfam family "5.8S ribosomal RNA", at positions 35 to 154 of the family's 154-position model. The record is from RNAcentral.